GCUGGAAUAGCUCAGAUGGCUAGAGCGUGUGGCUGUUAACCACAAGGUUCAAGCCCUCCUUUCAGCG
Molecule: transfer RNA, 67 nt
Filed under: Arabidopsis lyrata subsp. lyrata
Lineage: Eukaryota; Viridiplantae; Streptophyta; Magnoliopsida; Brassicales; Brassicaceae
Rfam family: tRNA
About the family: Transfer RNA (tRNA) molecules are approximately 80 nucleotides in length. Their secondary structure includes four short double-helical elements and three loops (D, anti-codon, and T loops). Further hydrogen bonds mediate the characteristic L-shaped molecular structure. tRNAs have two regions of fundamental functional importance: the anti-codon, which is responsible for specific mRNA codon recognition, and the 3' end, to which the tRNAs corresponding amino acid is attached (by aminoacyl-tRNA synthetases). tRNAs cope with the degeneracy of the genetic code in two manners: having more than one tRNA (with a specific anti-codon) for a particular amino acid; and 'wobble' base-pairing, i.e. permitting non-standard base-pairing at the 3rd anti-codon position.
Source: Rfam by way of RNAcentral